UGGCCUCAGAGGUAUUGUCCUGGUGUGUGUGUGAGAGGCAUUAAGGUGGCCUGCUGCUGGGAGCCCCUCAGUUUGUCCUCUGCUGUUGUCCGGUGAAUUUUGCAUUUCAAAUUUAAAAAGAUGCCAGCAACUAGACGCGAAAUACGUACUUUUGUCAUGCAACUACGGUACUUCAUCCUGUUAAUACUACUGUUUAUAAUCCUUGGCGCUUUCUUAAGAAUGGUGUACCACUAUCUCACGGAAUUGUACAUGAAGGGUGCGCAUCUCUCAUAACCUGCGUCCAGAGGGUUCCUGUUGUAACGACAAAAUGCUGCCAGAUGGAAACUACGGUCAUCCAGAUAACUCUACUUGUCUACUAAAUAUUGUUAAUGUUAAAUAUAAAAUUUAUAUAGAUUGUUAAUAAAGCUAAAGAAAACGUU
Procambarus clarkii (red swamp crayfish) is the source of this 419-nucleotide long non-coding RNA. RefSeq lists it as uncharacterized. Lineage: Eukaryota; Metazoa; Arthropoda; Malacostraca; Decapoda; Cambaridae. The record is from RefSeq and is a predicted model, not a curated record.